GAUGAACGCUAGCGGCAGGCCUAAUACAUGCAAGUCGGACGGGAUUCAGGAGCUUGCUUCUGAUGAGAGUGGCGCACGGGUGCGUAACACGUAUGUAACCUACCUUUAUCAGGGGGAUAGCCUCUCGAAAGAGAGAUUAAGCCCGCAUAAAAUCACAGCACAGCAUUGUGUAAUGAUCAAAUAUUUAUAGGAUAAAGAUGGGCAUGCGGAACAUUAGCUAGAUGGCGGGGUAACGGCCCACCAUGGCGACGAUGUUUAGGGGAUCUGAGAGGAUGGCCCCCCACACUGGUACUGAGACACGGACCAGACUCCUACGGGAGGCAGCAGUAAGGAAUAGUGGGCAAUGGGCGGAAGCCUGAACCAGCCAUGCCGCGUGCAGGAAGACGGCCCUACGGGUUGUAAACUGCUUUUAUACGGGAAUAAACCCAGAUACGUGUAUCUGGCUGAAUGUACUGGAAGAAUAAGGAUCGGCUAACCCCGUG
RNAcentral lists this ribosomal RNA (482 nucleotides) under uncultured bacterium. RNAcentral describes it as "partial 16S ribosomal RNA". It matches the Rfam family "Bacterial small subunit ribosomal RNA", at positions 28 to 507 of the family's 1533-position model. The record is from RNAcentral.